GUCUCUUCGGGGAUGAUUAAACCGGCGCACGGGUGAGUAACACGUGAGUGACCUGCCUUUUAGACUGGAACAACUUACCGAAAGGUGAGCUAAUGCCGGAUGAGUUAUAUAAGUGCAUGUUUAUAUAGGAAAAGUUGGGGAGACCUGACGCUGAAAGAUGGACUCGCGUCCCAUUAGCUAGUUGGUAGGGUAAUGGCCUACCAAGGCGACGAUGGGUAGCCGGCCUGAGAGGGUGGCCGGCCACACUGGGACUGAGACACGGCCCAGACUCCUACGGGAGGCAGCAGUGGGGAAUUUUGCGCAAUGCUCGUAAGAGUGACGCAGCGACGCCGCGUGAAUGACGAAGGCCUUCGGGUCGUAAAGUUCUUUCGACAGGGAAGAAAAUGCCUAUAAGUAACUGUGUAUGUAUUGACGGUACCUGUAUAAGCAGCCCCGGCUAACUCCGUGCCAGCAGCCGCGGUAAUACGGAGGGGGCGAGCGUUGUUCGGAGUGACUGGGCGUAAAGAGCACGUAGGCGGUGUUGUAAGUCAUUAGUCAAAGACUAGAGCUCAACUUUAGUAAGGCUAGUGAUACUAUAAUACUAGAGUAUCAGAGAGGAUUGCAGAAUUCCUGGUGUAGCGGUGAAAUGCGUAGAUAUCAGGAGGAAUACCGUUAGCGAAGGCGGCAAUCUGGCUGGAAACUGACGCUGAGGUGCGAAAGCGUGGGUAGCAAACAGGAUUAGAUACCCUGGUAGUCCACGCUGUAAACGAUGGAUGCUAGGUGUUGGGCUUUUAAGUUCAGUGCCGCAGCAAACGCGAUAAGCAUCCCGCCUGGGGAGUA
This 819-nucleotide ribosomal RNA is filed under the name uncultured bacterium. Its description in RNAcentral is "bacterial SSU rRNA". It matches the Rfam family "Bacterial small subunit ribosomal RNA", at positions 74 to 882 of the family's 1533-position model. The record is from RNAcentral.